CAUUUCUUCACUGAUUCAUAGGUAUGCCCCCUCUCGGUCUCUCCGCUCCUUUCUGCUGCUCACACCCUUACUGCAAAUUCACGCCAGCAGGACUUCUCACGGGCAGCUCCUUUCAUUUGGAACAGCCUGCCUACCCCUGUCAGACUCUCCCCUAGUCUUCAAUCCUUUAAGAAGUCCCUUAAAACCCAUCUUUUCUGGAAUGCUUAUGGCCUCCAAGAGUAACUUCUAUCUCUCAAACCCUCCUCUUGAUCUCUCCUGAUGAGCUCCACUCUCACUUCCAGCUCUGCUACUUUCCCACCAUGUCUGUUUGCUGUCUCUCUCAAUACCCUUCAUUUUGUGUUUUUAUACCCCACCUCCUCUAGACUGUAAGCUCGUUUAGCAGGGUCCUCAGCUACCUAUUGUUCCUGUUACAUUUUGUUAUUGUCUCAUUUGGUAAAUUCCCCUUUUAUUGUAAAGCGCUGGUCAGUGCUAUAAUGGCGCAAGUCACAGCAGAGCGUCCCAUGAUGUAGGUAUAGGGGUUUAUGGAGUUAGGGGGCUUAUAGUGAGUUUAUAGGGUUAGGAAAACUUAGGAGAUUCCUUCUUUCAUUGUGCUAUGGACUGCCACCAGUUUUCAAGCAUUUG
Non-coding RNA from Pelobates cultripes (western spadefoot toad), 621 nucleotides. Lineage: Eukaryota; Metazoa; Chordata; Amphibia; Anura; Pelobatidae. The record is from the annotation of a GenBank genome assembly.